CAUAAAAUAUAAUAAAAGUCAAUCAAGACUACAAUAUAUAGAUUAAUUUUCGAAUGAAAGAAACCUCAAAAAAAACAAAGUUUGUUUUCUCCUUACCUUACAUUCCAUUUUCGAAGAUUUAUCAAAUCUUAUCCAAAACCUUUUAUCUCCAUCACGAAUCGAAAAACCACGAAUGACAAUCCUGUGCACACGAGCAGUAUUCGUCUCGACGGAACAUAGGUUAGUAGUAUCGGUCAAGGUUAAGCAAUCGAUGCUGGAAAUUCACGCGGUCCAAGCGGCUGUAUUGGCAUCGGGCCUUGGCGCGGCUGGCUACGCCCCUGUCGAGUGGGGACACCCGUGAAACAAUAAACCCUUUUUACAGACGUCCACGAGGAAGUUGAAGCGUCGCGUCGGCUUCAAAGCGAUUCAACCUCGCGUUUCGGCGUUGAGAACAAUUCUCGAAUGUCGUCGUAUUUCUUUCUCCCUCUCUCCCUUCCCCUCGCGAAUAUCCUCUUUACGAUUCCCUCGCGGUAGCAGUUCUUUCUUCGGGAAUAAGCUCCUUAGUUCGCGAAAGGAAACGCGACAGGAGGAGAGAAUUAAUUUCCACGAGAAUUUCUGUCUUUCUGUCAAGGACGAGCCAGCACGUGGACAACGAACAUCCGUAUAUCCGGGAGCAUAUAGGCGGAAUAGAGAUUCGGCCAAGGUCGGACAAUGAAAAUCCUUCUGACCCUGUAAUUAUUUGGCAUUGCACUUUGGCUGAACUCACGGCCCUGACCAUCGUUCUCGAUGUGGUUAAUUUUCGUUCCUGGCUCCCGACUACUUGAUUAAACG
Apis florea (little honeybee) is the source of this 810-nucleotide long non-coding RNA. Lineage: Eukaryota; Metazoa; Arthropoda; Insecta; Hymenoptera; Apidae. The record is from RefSeq and is a predicted model, not a curated record.